Non-coding RNA from Arachis ipaensis, 465 nucleotides. The record is from RefSeq and is a predicted model, not a curated record. Lineage: Eukaryota; Viridiplantae; Streptophyta; Magnoliopsida; Fabales; Fabaceae.
AAUCUAUUUAAUUAUUUUCAAUUUUAGCACAUAAAAAAAUAUUAUUACUGUAUCUUUUAAUAGCUGAUGACAAAUUUCAUACUUUCCAUUAUGCAUUCAAGGACCUUGAUUCCGCUACUGUGUCAAAUUAUUUCAAGCCUUUUGGUGGAGGAAUGAGACAAUGUCCCGGGGCUGAGAUAAGUAGAGCUUUCUUGGCUACUUUCAUUCAUGUCUUGGUCACAAAAUAUAGGUUUACAAAAGUCAGGGGAGGGAGAAUUGUUCGGGAUCCCAUGCUAGGAUUUCGCGGUGGAGUUCAUAUCAAAAUUUGGGAGAAGCCAGUUCAUAACUAAAAUUAAAGCAGAAAGCUAUAUAUAUUUGAAUGGAUAUGAAAAGAGUGAAGUUAGUAUGUGUUGUGAAAUAAAGAAUGAACAUUGAAAAGAAGACUCAAUGCUCAUAGGAAAGCUUAUAUAUAAUAUGUUUGUAAUA